RNAcentral lists this long non-coding RNA (278 nucleotides) under Elaeis guineensis (African oil palm). RNAcentral describes it as "long non-coding RNA (EGUI_LNC013982)". The record is from RNAcentral. Lineage: Eukaryota; Viridiplantae; Streptophyta; Magnoliopsida; Arecales; Arecaceae.
UUCAUUUUCUGAAUAUGACAUGAAUUUAGAAAUAUUACUAUCAUUAGAAAUUGCCAUGACUAAUAUAAAAAAUAUAUCUAAAAAUUAAAAAGAAAAGUAGCAGAUUGUUGAGAACUUUAGCAAUUGAAUAGAAAAAAUAAUAGAAGAGAGAAUUGGAGUGGAUAUGGUAGAAAAUGGUGAAUUGAUGUGGUGAGAAUGGAAGAGGAGGGGACUAUGUAUAGGGAUUAGGGGACUACUUAAACGGAUCAGAUUGGCAAGUGGGUCGGGCCAUGCCUGGC